RNAcentral lists this long non-coding RNA (312 nucleotides) under Mytilus galloprovincialis (Mediterranean mussel). Lineage: Eukaryota; Metazoa; Mollusca; Bivalvia; Mytilida; Mytilidae. The record is from RNAcentral.
ACACUUAAAGGAGUAGGUCCAGUAAGACCCCUUUUUGGCCCCAAAAUAUAGCAGUUUUACAAAAUUGUUAAAAUGUAAACUUUUAGUUAUUUAUUGUACAGUAGAAUGCUUCUGCUACAUAAAUAUGGGCUGUUUUUGACAAUACAAUGCACAUAUAUCAGGUACUAGCACCAUUAAGUCGUGCUAAAUUACUGAAAUCUUCACAAUUCUAGCAUUUUGGUUAAAUUUUAGACGGUUUUCGUGUGAAACGAAAGUGGCCGCAUUCGUGUUCAUCCUUAAUAUUAAAAUGUAAGAUGUAUUUUAUGAUAAUAC